This 23-nucleotide non-coding RNA is filed under the name Cricetulus griseus (Chinese hamster). Lineage: Eukaryota; Metazoa; Chordata; Mammalia; Rodentia; Cricetidae. The record is from RNAcentral.
UGCGGAUAUGGGACUGAGACCAG